UACCCGCCAGAGAAUUACGAGCAAAAAGCUUAAAACUCUAAGGACUUGGCGGUACCUCAAACCCCCCUAGAGGAGCCUGUUCUAUAAUCGAUAAUCCACGAUUCACCUCACCAUCCUUUGCCUAAUACAGCCUAUAUACCGCCGUCACAGCUUACCCUAUGAAGACAUAAAAGUAAGCCGAACAGCUACAUCCAGCUAAAAAGUCAGGUCAAGGUGUAGCUUACUAGGAUGGAAGAAAUGGGCUACAUUUUCUUACCAAAGAAAUACCAACGGAUAUGAACUUUGAAACAAGUCUUAACAAAGCCGGAUUUAGCAGUAAAUUGAAAGCAGAGAGUUCAAUUU
This 342-nucleotide ribosomal RNA is filed under the name Carettochelys insculpta (pitted-shelled turtle). Its description in RNAcentral is "partial 12S ribosomal RNA". It matches the Rfam family "Bacterial small subunit ribosomal RNA", at positions 866 to 1364 of the family's 1533-position model. The record is from RNAcentral. Lineage: Eukaryota; Metazoa; Chordata; Testudines; Carettochelyidae.